Molecule: non-coding RNA, 76 nt
Organism: Myotis lucifugus (little brown bat)
Lineage: Eukaryota; Metazoa; Chordata; Mammalia; Chiroptera; Vespertilionidae
Source: Rfam
GGCAGUUCUCAGGUGAUGCACCCUGGAAUUGGGCUCCCUCCUCUCUGGUUCCAGGGUGUGUCACCCGAGAACCGCU